GAUGAACGCUAGCGGGAGGCUUAACACAUGCAAGUCGAGGGGCAGCACAUGAGUAGCAAUACGAUGGUGGCGACCGGCGCACGGGUGAGUAACACGUAUGCAACCUGCCUGUAAGAGGGGAAUAACCCGGAGAAAUUCGGACUAAUACCGCAUAAUACCACGAGACUGCAUGGUUUUGUGGUUAAACAUUUAUGGCUUACAGAUGGGCAUGCGUAUGAUUAGAUAGUUGGUAGGGUAACGGCCUACCAAGUCUACGAUCAUUAGGGGUUCUGAGAGGAAGGUCCCCCACACUGGUACCUGAGACACGGACCAGACUCCUACGGGAGGCAGCAGUGAGGAAUAUUGGUCAAUGGGCGAGAGCCUGAACCAGCCAAGUCGCGUGAAGGAAGAAGGUUCUAUGGAUUGUAAACUUCUUUUGCAGGGGAAUAAAGGACGGUACGUGUACUGUUUUGUAUGUACCUUGCGAAUAAGGAUCGGCUAACUCCGUGCCAGCAGCCGCGGUAAAACG
Molecule: ribosomal RNA, 508 nt
Filed under: uncultured bacterium
Lineage: Bacteria
Description: bacterial SSU rRNA
Rfam family: Bacterial small subunit ribosomal RNA
Source: RNAcentral